RNAcentral lists this ribosomal RNA (449 nucleotides) under uncultured bacterium. RNAcentral's name for it is "partial 16S ribosomal RNA". It matches the Rfam family "Bacterial small subunit ribosomal RNA", at positions 29 to 523 of the family's 1533-position model. The record is from RNAcentral.
AACGGACGCUGGCGGCAUGCCUAACACAUGCAAGUCGAACGAGAUCUUCGGGUCUAGUGGCGCACGGGUGCGUAACGCGUGGGAAUCUGCCCUUUGGUUCGGAAUAACAGUUGGAAACGACUGCUAAUACCGGAUGAUGACGAAAGUCCAAAGAUUUAUCGCCAGAGGAUGAGCCCGCGUAGGAUUAGCUAGUUGGUGUGGUAAAGGCGCACCAAGGCGACGAUCCUUAGCUGGUCUGAGAGGAUGAUCAGCCACACUGGGACUGAGACACGGCCCAGACUCCUACGGGAGGCAGCAGUGGGGAAGAUUGGACAAUGGGCGAAAGCCUGAUCCAGCGAUGCCGCGUGAGUGAUGAAGGCCUUAGGGUUGUAAAGCUCUUUUACCCGGGAUGAUAAUGACGGUACCGGGAGAAUAAGCUCCGGCUAACUCCGUGCCAGCCGCCGCAGUAA